This 304-nucleotide unclassified non-coding RNA is filed under the name uncultured Alternaria. Its description in RNAcentral is "sequence contains ITS1". The stretch from base 1 to 105 matches the Rfam family "5.8S ribosomal RNA", at positions 50 to 154 of the family's 154-position model. Lineage: Eukaryota; Fungi; Ascomycota; Dothideomycetes; Pleosporales; Pleosporaceae. The record is from RNAcentral.
GAAAUGCUAUAAGUAAUGUGAAUUGCAGAAUUCAGUGAAUCAUCGAAUCUUUGAACGCACAUUGCGCCCUUUGGUAUUCCAAAGGGCAUGCCUGUUCGAGCGUCAUUUGUACCCUCAAGCUUUGCUUGGUGUUGGGCGUCUUGUCUCCAGUUCGCUGGAGACUCGCCUUAAAGUCAUUGGCAGCCGGCAUACUGGUUUCGGAGCGCAGCACAAGUCGCGCUUUCAUCCAGCCAAGGUCAGCGACCAGUAAGACUUUUUUUCAAAGUUUGACAUCGGUUCAGGUAGGGAUAACCGCUGAACUUAA